Molecule: ribosomal RNA, 254 nt
Filed under: uncultured bacterium
Lineage: Bacteria
Also listed under: 1 other name
Description: partial 16S ribosomal RNA
Rfam family: Bacterial small subunit ribosomal RNA
Source: RNAcentral
GACGAACCGUGCGAACGUUAUUCGGAAUCACUGGGCUUAAAGCGCGUGUAGGCGGAUGGGAACGUCGGAUACUGAAAGCCCCCGGCUCAACCGGGGAAGUGGUUCCGAAACGACCUGUCUGGAGGGACGUAGGGGGAUCUGGAACUUCCGGUGGAGCGGUGAAAUGCGUUGAGAUCGGAAGGAACGCCCGUGGCGAAAGCGAGGUCCUGGACGUCUGCUGACGCUGAGACGCGAAAGCUAGGGGAGCAAACGGG